AGCACAGAGAUUCUGCCCUCUGCAUAUUCUCAGGUCUCUGUGUGUACCUCCCAUUGAGUAGAGAAGCUUAAGAUAAUUUCUGAGAGAAGAACACUGCUGAUUAUGGGAGCAGUUUAGGAGUCCAUGGAAGAAAGAAAAAUACAUGUGUCUUGGCAGCCAUGGUAUAUUUUUGUCUAAAUGGAUUGGAAGGAUAUUUGAAUAUUUGAAUGUUGGUAUGACAUAAAGCUGCAGUGCACUAUAGAGUCAAGUCAUUGAAUUACCACUCCUGAUAUAGGGCUUUAUUGUACUACUGUGAAGUGUAUGUGUGCAAUACAUUGCUGAGUUCAUUUACUGGUAUACGGAAGAGCCAGCAGGAGCAGCGUGGUCAUUGCUCGGUGCUAUUACAGUUGCUUAUAGUGAGUGCUAUUUUCCAGGAGAUGGAGCCAGUUGGGUGUGGCAGAUCUACUGAAUAUCAAAUGAUGCUCUUCUUCCCAUGCAGACCUUCAGCAAAAGCCGGUACUUGGAAGCCACAGGCUCACCUUCUCUAUCUAUCCAAUAAUUAUUAAUGAAGAGACCUCCAUAAGGGAGCAGCUGGCUGUUAUCGAUAAAUGUACCAAUUAUUAAAUAAUUAGUCUCCAAGCCAUUCAGUGAUGUCUUCAGCAUCACUAUAGAACUGUCUAGUGUCACUUUUUCCUUCCUUCUGGGUGGAGGCUUUCAGACUCCCAAUCAUGAAGGCAAGUUAAUCUUUCUCUCCAGUUAGUGACUUUUGCCCCAUAGUUGGGUAAGCACUUCCUAGAUUGAGAAAAAGCAGCUACAGUCAAUCCUGCUCUGUUUCCCUCAUUUGGUGAUCAUGAUCAGUCAGUCACACAUAAGUUCCUUGUAUUCUAAAUUUCAUGCACUUCUCCCAGAUGCUAUAGGGUUUUCUCUCACUGUUGCCAAUGGAUGUCAUCCAGACAGUGGGCUCAUAUCUUACGGUUUUGUGCAAUCAUUGUCGUAUUGUAGUCUUAAGACUCAUUAUAGUGUAUUUUUGAUAUUUUUGAAAUGUGUUAAAUUUUUUAAUUCAAUAAUAUGAGCCAGAGCAUGUUGCAGCAAAUCUAUUGUUUGUAAAAAUAACAAUAACAAUAAUAAAUAAAAUAAAGUGGAAUCUCUUUU
RNAcentral lists this long non-coding RNA (1131 nucleotides) under Pongo abelii (Sumatran orangutan). Its description in RNAcentral is "lncRNA (ENSPPYG00000041436.1)". Lineage: Eukaryota; Metazoa; Chordata; Mammalia; Primates; Hominidae. The record is from RNAcentral.